CCCUUCCNGAGUAUCAAUUGGAGGGCAAGUCUGGUGCCAGCAGCCGCGGUAAUUCCAGCUCCAAUAGCGUAUAUUAAACUUGUUGCAGUUAAAAAGCUCGUAGUUGAAUUUCUGCUGUUUCGUUGACUGCGUUUGGCGUUUGUCAUCGUUGCGGCUUGGUUGGGUUUCGAUUAUUCGUUUCCCGGCGUUUACUUUGAGAAAAUUAGAGUGCUUGAAGCAGGCUUUUGCCUUGAAUACUUUAGCAUGGAAUAACGGAGUAGGACUUUGGUUCUAUUUUGUUGGUUUUAGGAGCCAGAGUAAUGGUUAAUAGGAACAGUUGGGGGCAUUCGUAUUUGACUGUCAGA
RNAcentral lists this ribosomal RNA (344 nucleotides) under Theileria equi. Its description in RNAcentral is "SSU rRNA". It matches the Rfam family "Eukaryotic small subunit ribosomal RNA", at positions 531 to 909 of the family's 1831-position model. The record is from RNAcentral. Lineage: Eukaryota; Apicomplexa; Aconoidasida; Piroplasmida; Theileriidae.